Molecule: long non-coding RNA, 1438 nt
Organism: Planococcus citri (citrus mealybug)
Lineage: Eukaryota; Metazoa; Arthropoda; Insecta; Hemiptera; Pseudococcidae
Exons: 2
Source: RefSeq, a predicted model, not a curated record
GAUUAAGUUUGUCCUCGAAACCCUCAACCAAAAUUUUCAUGAAAAAUAACAUCAAUUUUCAACUAUUCCUUUGAAAUAAUCUUGUUUCCAUGAUCUUUCUGGAUUCAUAAGACUUUUGAAGAAGCUUGGCCGACGAUGGAAUAUUUUUUCCAAUUCCGCCUCACUCAUAAAAACUACAAACGAUAGAAAAUUCAAUAUUGAAAAAACACACUAACUUUUCUCCCAAUUAAACUUCUAAAAAUAGGUAUGUAUCUGAAGUACCUGCUCAAGCUCAUUCAAUCCAAUUAAAAAUGAAAACAAAUCACAAAAAUACUUUCCUAUUAAAAAAAUUUUUCACGUCUUUUUUAAUGGUAUGCAUCGUCAUCAUUUUAGUGACCCGGUAUCAGUAGAACAGAAUUUUCCAAUUAGUAGUUAGAUAUCACAGCACCAAUUGGAGAAUGUUUACAUUCGGAGAAAUUUUCAUUUUAAUUGCAACGACGUCAAUUAGCAAAUCUUGAUUGCAAGACGAUUGUUAAUUUCCAACACCGAUUACCAUUGCGGCAUUUUAUUUCCAUGCGGUGAAAUUUUUCUUUAUUUUUCACGCAAUCGAACAGCUGUUGUAGAUCGGGUACCAAGUAGGUAGGUAAAUUUUCUCGAACACGAAAUAACGCUCUUCCUCGUCAAGUAGCAUUUUGAAGGUGACGUCAUCAAUUUAACAGUUACAAUUGUGAGAUAACACGCUACUACAGACCAAUCACCGCGACACGUUACUUACAAAUUCAAAUAAUACAUUUAAAAUUUUGGUGUCAUAUAAAAUACUAAAUACACUAUACAAAAUACACAGACACACAUCCACUAUCCGCACACAUAAUAUACGAUACGACUGAUUUAACAAUGUCACAUACAGUAGAUGUACAUAAAGCACCGCGUGCCUAUUGCCAAUUUACACGAUCGCGAUCCAAAAGCAGUACAAUUUUUUCCUCGAAUAUGUCACAUUCGAAGCCAAUAAGACGUAUAUUCCGCAUUUACAUCGAAAUACGAGGUACCCAUGAGAUUACAUUAUCAGUGGAACAUGUACAAGUUGAAAUUUCCCGAAUAUUAACUAUUACGAAAAAAAACACUAUGAUAUUUACAUACGUUACAAUGCUCGAAUAGAGUGCCUAUAACUAUUAGGAAACGUCGUCGCUAGAAUUUGACGACAAGUUUUUUUGCGUUGCAAGAGUCGAGCUUUGUAAUAGAAAAUUGCGCAAAUUACGUUCAAUUAGUUACGCAAGCAGCACAUGGCGAAAAAAAAUACUACAAACCUUUUAUAAGCGCUUAUAUGCUGAAAAUGAACUGGUUUUGGUGGCGUCGGCGGUUUCUGUUUACCUAUGCAAAAAUAAAAAUUUGAAAGCAACAGUACACGUAACAGAAAAAAAGCACAACGGAUACACGUACGAACGCGAAAUCACAGUAGGUA